AUAGUAAUCAUUUGUUUAAGUUUAUAUGUUCAUGUUAUGAUAUGGCUCUUUGACAUUAAUAUUGUUUUAAAAACUGACGAUUGUGUGGCAAACUUGUAAUCAUUGUUUGGCCUUCAUUUCGAUUUCACGGAUAAACCGAACCUUUAAUACAUUUUUCACAGUACCUACUUAUUUUAAGACGAUAUAAAAAGCUGGCAUCAUUUUUGAAACAUUCAGCUUCUUAACAGUUCAUCAUGAGAAGCUUAAGCUUUGUUUUUAUUCUGGCUGUCUUCGCAUUGGGAACCAACGGAAAAUGCACCUAUAUGAAGCAGUCGGAUUUAAAGCCUACUUGUGGAAUAGGCGCAGAUUGCUACUUGAAUGGCCCUAAUAAAGGUUAUCUCGAACUUCAGUCCUGCAGACGUAAAGAAAAAGGACUACGAACCUACUUGGAAAUAAAGCGCGGAAGAUGUCCAACAGAUAAACCCCCGUGUAAAUAUAUAAGGAACUAAUUUUAAGCAGACAGUACAUUGUAACAUCCAAUAUAAAAGCUUGAAGCGAAA
This is a long non-coding RNA of Drosophila ficusphila, 539 nucleotides long. RefSeq lists it as uncharacterized. The record is from RefSeq and is a predicted model, not a curated record. The transcript has 3 exons. NCBI's taxonomy places the organism in Eukaryota, Metazoa, Arthropoda, Insecta, Diptera, Drosophilidae.